This 492-nucleotide ribosomal RNA is filed under the name uncultured bacterium. Its description in RNAcentral is "partial 16S ribosomal RNA". It matches the Rfam family "Bacterial small subunit ribosomal RNA", at positions 29 to 507 of the family's 1533-position model. The record is from RNAcentral.
AGUGAACGCUGGCGGUAGGCCUAAUACAUGCAAGUCGAACGGCAGCACAGUAAGAUCUUGCCCUUACGGGUGGCGAGUGACGGACGGGUGAGGAAUACAUCAGCAUCCACUUUUACUUGGGGGACAACGUAGGAAAACUUACACUAAUACCGCAUAUUUCCUACGGCUGAAAGCAAGAGAUAUACGCACCUUUCCUGACUGAUUUAGACGAUGUCGCAUUAGCUAGUUGGCUAGGUAAAGGCCCACCAAGGCAACGAUGCGUAGCUGGUCUGAGAGGAUGAUCAGCCACACUGGAACUGAGACACGGUCCAGACUCCUACGGGAGGCAGCAGUGGGGAAUAUUGCGCAAUGGGCGCAAGCCUGAUCCAGCAAUGCCGCGUGAGUGAUGAAGGCCUUCGGGUUGUAAAGCCCUUUUGUUAGGAAAGAAAAGCUGCAGGUGAAUACGCCGAUGUUCUGACGGUACCCAAAGAGUAAGCACCGGCUAACUUCGUG